RNAcentral lists this ribosomal RNA (776 nucleotides) under uncultured Neocallimastigales. RNAcentral's name for it is "partial large subunit ribosomal RNA". It matches the Rfam family "Eukaryotic large subunit ribosomal RNA", at positions 22 to 649 of the family's 3401-position model. Lineage: Eukaryota; Fungi; Neocallimastigomycota; Neocallimastigomycetes; Neocallimastigales. The record is from RNAcentral.
GUACACGCUGUGACUAGCAUAUCAAUAAGCGGAGGAAAAGAAACUAACAAGGAUUCCCUUAGUAACGGCGAGUGAAGCGGGAAGAGCUCAAAUUUGAAAUCUUCAAGGUUUUACCUUGACGAAUUGUAGUUUGAAGAAGUGUUUUCUGCUGAAGUUUUGGUAAAAGUUCUUUGGAAUAGGACAUCAUAGAGGGUGAGAAUCCCGUAUUUGACCAUUAUUUUCAGCUUCGUGAUACACUUUCAAAGAGUCGGAUUGUUUGGGAAUGCAGUCCAAAAUGGGUGGUAAAUUUCAUCUAAGGCUAAAUAUUGGCGAGAGACCGAUAGCGAACAAGUACCGUGAGGGAAAGAUGAAAAGAACUUUGAAAAGAGAGUUAAAUAGUACGUGAAAUCGUCAAAAGGGAAGCGUUUGACACCAGUGUUGUUUUCUCGAAAAUCAAUUAAAAAUGGCUCGAUUUUGUAUUGCUUGAGACCUUAAAAGCUCACUGUACAUUUUUCGUGUCUUUUUUAAUGCACUUUUCGUUUAACAAGUCAACAUCAGUUUCUUUUGUUGUAAAAGGGUCAUUGGAAGGUGGCUUUCUUUUCGGAGAAAGUGUUUAUAGCCUUUGGCCUCUGCAAUCGGAAGAGACUGAGGUCUGCAGCGUAGACUCUUCGGGGUUAGAUACAUUUGUGCUAAGUUAUAGCUUUUUAUAGACAACUUGUUGACUAUAAUUAGUCUUGUAGCUUACUCGCUUAUGCUAUUUUACCUACGCUUAGGAUGUUGAGUAGCGACAUACGCAC